CAAAGAAGAAGGAGUUUAACCUCCGCCCCUAACUCCCAAAGCUAGGGUUCUAGUUUAAACUAUUCUUUG
This 69-nucleotide transfer RNA is filed under the name Priapella intermedia (Isthmian priapella). RNAcentral describes it as "tRNA-Pro". Lineage: Eukaryota; Metazoa; Chordata; Actinopteri; Cyprinodontiformes; Poeciliidae. The record is from RNAcentral.